This 71-nucleotide transfer RNA is filed under the name Porticoccaceae bacterium. RNAcentral describes it as "tRNA-Trp". It matches the Rfam family "tRNA". From Rfam's summary of the family: Transfer RNA (tRNA) molecules are approximately 80 nucleotides in length. Their secondary structure includes four short double-helical elements and three loops (D, anti-codon, and T loops). Further hydrogen bonds mediate the characteristic L-shaped molecular structure. tRNAs have two regions of fundamental functional importance: the anti-codon, which is responsible for specific mRNA codon recognition, and the 3' end, to which the tRNAs corresponding amino acid is attached (by aminoacyl-tRNA synthetases). tRNAs cope with the degeneracy of the genetic code in two manners: having more than one tRNA (with a specific anti-codon) for a particular amino acid; and 'wobble' base-pairing, i.e. permitting non-standard base-pairing at the 3rd anti-codon position. The record is from RNAcentral. Lineage: Bacteria; Pseudomonadati; Pseudomonadota; Gammaproteobacteria; Cellvibrionales; Porticoccaceae.
AGUAGUUCAAUUGGUAGAGCACCGGUCUCCAAAACCGGGGGUUGGGGGUUCGAGUCCCUCCUGGCCUGCCA